RNAcentral lists this non-coding RNA (152 nucleotides) under unclassified sequences. Its description in RNAcentral is "RT-14 RNA". It matches the Rfam family "RT-14 RNA". Rfam says of the family: Cloacimonetes, Firmicutes, Proteobacteria. Nearby to self-splicing intron genes The record is from Rfam by way of RNAcentral.
AUAUGGCAUAAAAUUAUCAGAUAUGUAAGUUCAAGGACUUACAUAGAGUAUAUAUGCCAUACAAGUUUUAUUCCCUCCGUGAAAUCGGUAAAAAUAUAAAUAUAAAAGCACGUUCUAGUAACAAGAAAUUCUUGUGAAAGAGAGUGCUUUUU